Molecule: long non-coding RNA, 960 nt
Organism: Oncorhynchus tshawytscha (Chinook salmon)
Lineage: Eukaryota; Metazoa; Chordata; Actinopteri; Salmoniformes; Salmonidae
Source: Ensembl
UUUGCAAUUACCAGCGGUUCCUGCCAGUUAGGCCCAACCUAAUCUGGAAUACCCAGAACAAAAUCUUGCAUGAACAUAACUCUCAUAACCUCUGUGCUCCCGACAGACGUAACAUGUUGGUUACAGAUCUUAGGACAGAUAUGCCCACCCAGAUCAGUCUUAUCUACACCUGCAAUUGGAGCACAUUACAAACCUAUGACAGCUAUAGGUAUGAUAGUGUAUAUGAAAAUGAUGCACCAUCACAGAAGGGUCAUAGGUGGGAGCUAUUGUUUCACCAUAAAAGGAGAGAGGGGAGACACAAAAUACAGUGUGUCACUCUCACACUCACUACUGUGGCAUUGCCUGAGUCAUUAUCUACAGCCAACAGCUCCUGUGUAUAUUUCUAAAAACAUUUUCGAGAGCAUGUGAAUAUAGUCGCCCCCGAAAGCAUUUCUCAUUUCCAUAUAUCCUGUUUCACAUCUCUCUCUGUAUUAUACAUAAUAACAGGUGGCAGGUUUAAAGAACUCUUAACCGUGAUCCAAUGAAUGUGCUGCUGGUGCCUUAUGUUUGUACUUUUGGUUGGAAUGACAAUGAACGACAUUUCUUGUCGUCUCUCUUGACCUACAGUUAACAGAUGCAGGAACAAGGAGAAACAGACAAACACUUGGAUUACCCAGAAGAAGCACCAGAUCUCAGAAGGUGAAGAUGAUUUGUGCUAUGCCACCUUGUCCCAUGCUGGUGCUCCUCCAUCCUACUCAGUCAAGUUUGAACAAGGCCAUGACUAUGCCACAGUGGUCAUAUACUGACCAGCAUUGCCGAACUGAAUGGACAUGAAAGGACUUCCAAAUGGAUAGAUUGCUUGACUUUAACACCUACAUUUCAAUUUUCUUUCCAAGAAAUCAUUUGCAUAAAUCUAUUUGCAAUGUAGUUUUGAUUAUCCAAUUUGUCACAUUAAGAGAACAAUAAAGUUUUUGUAUUCCA